This 253-nucleotide ribosomal RNA is filed under the name uncultured bacterium. RNAcentral's name for it is "partial 16S ribosomal RNA". It matches the Rfam family "Bacterial small subunit ribosomal RNA", at positions 524 to 776 of the family's 1533-position model. The record is from RNAcentral.
UACGGAGGGUGCAAGCGUUAUCCGGAUUUACUGGGUUUAAAGGGUGCGUAGGUGGGCGAGAAAGUCAGUGGUGAAAUCUCCGGGCUUAACCCGGAAACUGCCAUUGAUACUAUUGGUCUUGAAUACUUUGGAGGUAAGCGGAAUAUGUCAUGUAGCGGUGAAAUGCUUAGAUAUGACAUAGAACACCAAUUGCGCAGGCAGCUUACUACACAGUAAUUGACACUGAGGCACGAAAGCGUGGGGAUCAAACAGG